AUUGAACGCUGGCGGCAUGCCUUACACAUGCAAGUCGAACGGCAGCACGGGAGCAAUCCUGGUGGCGAGUGGCGAACGGGUGAGUAAUAUAUCGGAACGUGCCCAGUCGUGGGGGAUAACGCAGCGAAAGCUGUGCUAAUACCGCAUACGAUCUAUGGAGGAAAGCGGGGGAUCGCAAGACCUCGCGCGAUUGGAGCGGCCGAUAUCAGAUUAGCUAGUUGGUGAGGUAAAGGAUCACCAAGGCGACGAUCUGUAGCUGGUCUGAGAGGACGACCAGCCACACUGGAACUGAGACGCGGUCCAGACUCCUACGGGAGGCAGCAGUGGGGAAUUUUGGACAAUGGGCGAAAGCCUGAUCCAGCAAUGCCGCGUGCAGGAUGAAGGCCUUCGGGUUGUAAACUGCUUUUGUACGGAACGAAACGGUGAGCUCUAAUACAGUUUGCUAAUGACGGUACCGUAAGAAUAAGCACCGGCUAACUACGUGCCAGCAGCCGCGGUAA
Molecule: ribosomal RNA, 500 nt
Filed under: uncultured bacterium
Lineage: Bacteria
Description: partial 16S ribosomal RNA
Rfam family: Bacterial small subunit ribosomal RNA
Source: RNAcentral